UAUAGGUAGAUGCUUUAUCAUGAAAAUCUAUCUGCAUCAUGGCUAUUUCCAGGUAACCAAACUGGUCUUGGAUACUUGUUCAGCAAGGCAGAGACUCCAUCAAGCAUAUCUUCUACGUCAUGGCUAGGGUGAUGUAUAGAUAGCUGGUUUUUGAAGAUGUCCCUGGGGUGCAGUUAGUAUACCUGCAGAAUCAGAGUGCACCCAUGUUUUCGCCCUAAUGUGAUUGAAGACGGCGACAGCAACAAGAAGCUACUGUUCCCAACUGUUCAUAUCUGCUUCACAAAUACUUUCUCAUUAGCCAACUCUGUCAAGGACAAAAGUCACUAGUUUUCGGUUCCGUUUUUGGAGGCUUCAGGCGCCCUGUGCUGACAUGGUCCUAAAGAAAUCACGAGAGACAGCAGUGGGAAACCCGUGGUGGUCACAGACCUCAUGACUGACGAGAAGCGAGAGGUUGAAACCCAUGGCAGUGGCCAUCAAUGGACCACCUUUUGGCUUUACCAAGAACCCUGUGAGCUUGAUGAAACAUAGGUACUUUCACGCAAAUGGCUGUUCCCUUUUAUAAAUGUCCAUGCGUUAUAUCAAUCUUUAAGAUAAGUAGUUUCUGGACAAAUGGCUUUGACUUCAUAUUCCUAUCUUCUGAACUAAUCUCAUACGAUUAUAAGUGUACAAAACAAAAGUCCACAUGCUAAUCACUUGCAGCAAUUGCAGAGGUGAAGAUUGUAGAGCAUGAUGAUGUUGGAUGUUGUACUUAUGGUUGUCAGCAAAAGGAAAGAGUUCCUGUUUUAUGGUCAACUGUCCCAAGCUUGCUAUUUUGUUGGUGUCUCAUAUUGACUUGUUCUGAAGUCACGACAUAUGUUCUUAAUUAGUUUUGUUGUAUUAUGGUGCAUGAAACAUUCAGCAAGUCACGCACCAUUGCAGCUGAACUUUCAGAGUCACUAAAGGACAGCAAAAUUAUUGAUCACAAU
Long non-coding RNA from Musa acuminata AAA Group (dessert banana), 965 nucleotides. RefSeq lists it as uncharacterized. Lineage: Eukaryota; Viridiplantae; Streptophyta; Magnoliopsida; Zingiberales; Musaceae. The record is from RefSeq and is a predicted model, not a curated record. The transcript is spliced from 3 exons.